RNAcentral lists this ribosomal RNA (253 nucleotides) under uncultured bacterium. Its description in RNAcentral is "partial 16S ribosomal RNA". It matches the Rfam family "Bacterial small subunit ribosomal RNA", at positions 524 to 776 of the family's 1533-position model. The record is from RNAcentral.
GACGUAGGGCGCGAGCGUUGUCCGGAUUUAUUGGGCGUAAAGAGCUCGUAGGCGGCUUGUCGCGUCGUCCGUGAAAACUUGUGGCUUAACCACAGGCUGGCGGUCGAUACGGGCAAGCUGGAGUUCGGUAGGGGAGACUGGAAUUCCUGGUGUAGCGGUGAAAUGCGCAGAUAUCAGGAGGAACACCGGUGGCGAAGGCGGGUCUCUGGGCCGAUACUGACACUGAGGAGCGAAAGCGUGGGGAGCGAACAGG